GGGGGCACUGGGAACUGUAGGGAGAUGCCGGGGUGGGGAGGGCUGGGAGUGCUGGGGGCUGCUGGGUGGGGGAACUGGGAACUACUGGGGGAGAUCAAGGUGGGGGGCACUGGGAGCACUGGGAGGGGGGACUGGGAGCUACUGGGGGACAGUGAGGUGGGAGUACUGGGAGGGGGCACUGGGAGCUACUGGGGGACAGCGAGCUGGGAGCAUUGGGAGGGGGCACUGGGAGCUACUGGGGGACAGCGAGGUGGGGGCACUGGAAAGGGGGCACUGGGAGCUACUGGGGGACAGCGAGCUGGGGGCAUUGGGAGCACUUGGGAGGGGGCACUGGGAGCUACUGGGGGACAGCGAGGUGGGGGCACUGGAAAGGGGGCACUGGGAGCUACUGGGGGACAGCGAGCUGGGGGCUUUGCAAGCUACUGGGGAUCAGCGAGGUGGGAGCAUUGGGAGCAUUGGGAGGGAGGACUGGGAGCUACUGGGGGACAGCGAGGUGGGGGCAUUGGGAGCUGCUGGGAGACAGCGAGGUGGGGGCGCUGGAAGGGAGGUCUGGGAGCUACUGGGGGACAGCGAGCUGGCGAACUGGGAGCUGCUGGGGGGCCGGGGCGGGGGGCGGCGCUGCCCGGGGCUGCCGCACUGGGAGCUGCUGGGGGGCCGGGGCGGGGGGCCGAGCGGGGUCGGGGGUGGGGGGAACCGCUCGGUCCCCACCGCCCCCGUCCCGUCCCGGGACUCACCCGCUCGCUGCCGGUCCCGGGGGUCGCGGAGGGGCCCGGCCCGGCCACGGAGCCGAGACUCCGCCGGGAGCGGGGCCGGGGGCGGUGCGGGGCGGGACCGGGAGCGGGGCCGGGGCCGGGGCCGGGGGGGGGGGGGCGGCGGGGCCGGAUCGCUGCUGCGGGGCCGGGAGGGGACCCACGCGGGGCCGGGACCCCCGUGGGUGACGCCGGGGCCCCCAGCGGGCCCCUCCGCCGGGACAGAGGCGCUUUGUGCGCGGGGGCACGUGACGGGGUCAGCGCAGGACGCCCGGUUCCCCCCCCCCCCCCCGGGGCGGCCAAAGGGUUAACGGGGAGGGAGUGGGGAGGGGGGGCUCUGCCCCUUUAAGGGGC
This 1103-nucleotide long non-coding RNA is filed under the name Aquila chrysaetos chrysaetos. RNAcentral's name for it is "lncRNA (ENSACCG00020012368.1)". The record is from RNAcentral. Lineage: Eukaryota; Metazoa; Chordata; Aves; Accipitriformes; Accipitridae.